AUUGAACGCUGGCGGCAGGCCUAACACAUGCAAGUCGAACGAGUGGCGGACGGGUUCUUAAUGUCUGGGAAACUGCCUGAUGGAGGGGGAUAACUACUGGAAACGGUAGCUAAUACCGCAUACCCUCAGACGUUCCCAGAUGGGAUUAGCUUGUUGGUGGGGUAACGGCUCACCGAGGCGACGAUCCGUAACUGGUCUGAGAGGAUGAUCAGCCACACUGGAACUGAGAAACGGUCCAGACUCCUACGGGAGGCAGCAGUGGGGAAUAUUGGACAAUGGGCGAAAGCCUGAUCCAGCCAUGCCGCGUGUGUGAAGAAGGUCUUCGGAUUGUAAAGCACUUUAAGUUGGGAGGCGUUACCAACAGAAGAAGCACCGGCUAACUUCGUGCCAGCAGCCGCGGUAAUAC
This 406-nucleotide ribosomal RNA is filed under the name uncultured bacterium. RNAcentral describes it as "partial 16S ribosomal RNA". It matches the Rfam family "Bacterial small subunit ribosomal RNA", at positions 30 to 526 of the family's 1533-position model. The record is from RNAcentral.